GACAAUUUCUUGAAUCCUCAUCCUGCGUCUCAGCAGUUCGCAGUCAGUCGCUUCCUGCCACCUCAACAUUAUGCUUCUGGUGUCUACACCCUUCUCCCCACCUCCUCACUGAUUCCCAGCUGUGCUGAAUUGAACCAUGUUUCCUGUGCCUUUUCUGGCUUGGAAACUCUCCGCCUUGACUGCUGCUGCAACUCUACCCCCUAGUGGCCGAAACUGGAAACACGCAUUUGGAAGAACAAAACUGCCUGGAUGGCUGGAGAAUCCGGAAUUCAAAGACCUCUAGAGACACAGAUGAUGCCCAAGCUUCACCGUCCUAAGAUAUAUCCUUCAGCCACCAGGUUCCAGAUGCUAGCAUGAUGCCAACCAGACUUCCCUGGACAGAUAACCCCACCAAUGUGUCCUGGAGCUCUGCUAGUAUUGUUAUUUAUCAUUCCCACUAGGGAAAGAGAGAGGCAGGCUGGGAGUAUGGAUCAACCUGUCAACACCCAUGUUCAGCAGGGAAGCAACUACAGAAGCCAGACCUUCCACCUUCUGCAUCCCACAAGGACCUUGGUUCCAUACUCCCAGAGGGUUAAAGAAUAGGAAAGCUAUCAGGGGAGGGGAUGGAAUAAGGAGUUCUGGUGGUGGGAAUUGUGUGGAGUUGUACCCCUCUUAU
Erinaceus europaeus (western European hedgehog) is the source of this 655-nucleotide long non-coding RNA. RefSeq lists it as uncharacterized. The transcript is spliced from 3 exons. The record is from RefSeq and is a predicted model, not a curated record. Lineage: Eukaryota; Metazoa; Chordata; Mammalia; Eulipotyphla; Erinaceidae.